CAGUCGCCACGGGAAUACGUAGGUGGCAAGCGUUGUCCGGAAUUAUUGGGCGUAAAGGGCUCGCAGGCGGUUUCUUAAGUCUGAUGUGAAAGCCCCCGGCUCAACCGGGGAGGGCCAUUGGAAACUGGGAAACUUGAGUGCAGAAGAGGAGAGUGGAAUUCCACGUGUAGCGGUGAAAUGCGUAGAGAUGUGGAGGAACACCAGUGGCGAAGGCGACUCUCUGGUCUGUAACUGACGCUGAGGAGCGAAAGCGUGGGGAGCGAACAGGAUUAGAUACCCCGGUAGUCCCUGUCUCUUAUAC
RNAcentral lists this ribosomal RNA (301 nucleotides) under uncultured bacterium. RNAcentral describes it as "partial 16S ribosomal RNA". It matches the Rfam family "Bacterial small subunit ribosomal RNA", at positions 509 to 807 of the family's 1533-position model. The record is from RNAcentral.